This 301-nucleotide ribosomal RNA is filed under the name uncultured bacterium. Its description in RNAcentral is "partial 16S ribosomal RNA". It matches the Rfam family "Bacterial small subunit ribosomal RNA", at positions 509 to 807 of the family's 1533-position model. The record is from RNAcentral.
CAGUCGCCGCGGGAAUACAGAGGGUGCAAGCGUUGUUCGGAAUUACCGGGCGUAAAGCGUGCGUAGUCGGUAUUGAGAGUCGCGGGUGAAAUCCCAGGGCUUAACCCUGGAACUGCCUGCGAGACCUCAGUACUAGAGUGUGAGAGGGGAUAGUGGAAUACCCAGUGUAGCGGUGAAAUGCGUAGAGAUUGGGUGGAACACCGGUGGCGAAGGCGGCUAUCUGGCUCACAACUGACGAUCAGGCACGAAAGCGUGGGGAGCAAACAGGAUUAGAUACCCGGGUAGUCCCUGUCUCUUAUAC